CGUUGCCUACGGGGCGUAGCAGUGAGGAAUAUUGGUCAAUGGGCGGAAGCCUGAACCAGCCAAGUCGCGUGAGGGAAGAAGGCCCUGCGGGUCGCAGACCUCUUUGGACGGGGAGCAAGGCCGCCGACGUGUCGGCGGAAGGAGAGUACCCGUAGAACAAGCAUCGGCUAACUCCGUGCCAGCAGCCGCGGUAAUACGGAGGAUGCGAGCGUUAUCCGGAUUUAUUGGGUUUAAAGUGUGCGCAGGCGGCACGGCAAG
RNAcentral lists this ribosomal RNA (258 nucleotides) under uncultured bacterium. Its description in RNAcentral is "partial 16S ribosomal RNA". It matches the Rfam family "Bacterial small subunit ribosomal RNA", at positions 332 to 587 of the family's 1533-position model. The record is from RNAcentral.